AGAGUUUGAUCCUGGCUCAGGAUGAACGCUGGCGGCGUGCCUAAUACAUGCAAGUCGAGCGAACGGACGAGAAGCUUGCUUCUCUGAUGUUAGCGGCGGACGGGUGAGUAACACGUGGAUAACCUACCUAUAAGACUGGGAUAACUUCGGGAAACCGGAGCUAAUACCGGAUAAUAUUUUGAACCGCAUGGUUCAAAAGUGAAAGACGGUCUUGCUGUCACUUAUAGAUGGAUCCGCGCUGCAUUAGCUAGUUGGUAAGGUAACGGCUUACCAAGGCAACGAUGCAUAGCCGACCUGAGAGGGUGAUCGGCCACACUGGAACUGAGACACGGUCCAGACUCCUACGGGAGGCAGCAGUAGGGAAUCUUCCGCAAUGGGCGAAAGCCUGACGGAGCAACGCCGCGUGAGUGAUGAAGGUCUUCGGAUCGUAAAACUCUGUUAUUAGGGAAGAACAUAUGUGUAAGUAACUGUGCACAUCUUGACGGUACCUAAUCAGAAAGCCACGGCUAACUACGUGCCAGCAGCCGCGGUAAUACGUAGGUGGCAAGCGUUAUCCGGAAUUAUUGGGCGUAAAGCGCGCGUAGGCGGUUUUUUAAGUCUGAUGUGAAAGCCCACGGCUCAACCGUGGAGGGUCAUUGGAAACUGGAAAACUUGAGUGCAGAAGAGGAAAGUGGAAUUCCAUGUGUAGCGGUGAAAUGCGCAGAGAUAUGGAGGAACACCAGUGGCGAAGGCGACUUUCUGGUCUGUAACUGACGCUGAUGUGCGAAAGCGUGGGGAUCAAACAGGAUUAGAUACCCUGGUAGUCCACGCCGUAAACGAUGAGUGCUAAGUGUUAGGGGGUUUCCGCCCCUUAGUGCUGCAGCUAACGCAUUAAGCACUCCGCCUGGGGAGUACGACCGCAAGGUUGAAACUCAAAGGAAUUGACGGGGACCCGCACAAGCGGUGGAGCAUGUGGUUUAAUUCGAAGCAACGCGAAGAACCUUACCAAAUCUUGACAUCCUUUGACAACUCUAGAGAUAGAGCCUUCCUCUUCGGGGGACAAAGUGACAGGUGGUGCAUGGUUGUCGUCAGCUCGUGUCGUGAGAUGUUGGGUUAAGUCCCGCAACGAGCGCAACCCUUAAGCUU
This 1125-nucleotide ribosomal RNA is filed under the name Staphylococcus aureus OCMM6103. RNAcentral describes it as "bacterial SSU rRNA". It matches the Rfam family "Bacterial small subunit ribosomal RNA", at positions 8 to 1112 of the family's 1533-position model. The record is from RNAcentral. Lineage: Bacteria; Bacillati; Bacillota; Bacilli; Caryophanales; Staphylococcaceae.